CCGGGUUGCUGUGGGGGGCGAUCCGCAGCCGCCGAGGCGCAGGCUGCGGGGGAGGGGCGGGGGCUCCGUCCCAGGCGCUCGGGUGGGAGCCUGGACGCGGGCGGGAGGAUGUCUGACUCAGAGCUGCAUCCUCUGAGGCAGACACACUUCACGUCGGUCCGCUCCUCCCGCCCUCCCCGACUUCCUCCUCACGUCCAGCAUUACUCUCAAUACACCUUUUUAAAUCUCAACCCGAGGAGUGAAUUUUCGCGACAAGAUAGCGUUUCCAGCUGACUCACCUGCGUCUGACUCACCCCAGGCAGUGGAGCGCUGCUCUUCGGAUACAGCCCCGAGUCCCCCGUGAGGUAAAGGCAGCAAGUUUGGGAAGCUGCAGACAGACACAAGGAUGCAAGUGCCAUUGCCCUAGAUAGAGCUGCCCUGCCCACAGAUAAAUGAGUGGUCCUGCUGCGUCUAGGCAGCGUUAGGCACGUUCAGCACGUCCUGCAGAGGUGGUCAGGGUCGCCCACUGUGGUCUAUGUGGAUCAAACGUACUGAUCACACAGAGAUGAACAUUACGGCAUAGGUCCUUCAAGCCUGAUGCAGCUGGGGGCUUUGGGCUUGCGGUGCAAGCGCAGGUAAGGCGUCCGGAGUGUGCCCGGUG
Molecule: long non-coding RNA, 640 nt
Filed under: Dromaius novaehollandiae (emu)
Lineage: Eukaryota; Metazoa; Chordata; Aves; Casuariiformes; Dromaiidae
Description: lncRNA (ENSDNVG00000001863.1)
Source: RNAcentral